RNAcentral lists this ribosomal RNA (245 nucleotides) under uncultured bacterium. RNAcentral's name for it is "partial 16S ribosomal RNA". It matches the Rfam family "Bacterial small subunit ribosomal RNA", at positions 524 to 768 of the family's 1533-position model. The record is from RNAcentral.
UACAGAGGGUGCGAGCGUUGUUCGGAAUUAUUGGGCGUAAAGCGCUUGUAGGCGGCUUGUUAAGUCGCGUGUGAAAUCCCCAGGCUCAACCUGGGAAGUGCGCGCGAAACUGGCGAGCUUGAAUGCCGGAGAGGGUCGCGGAAUUCCCGGUGUAGAGGUGAAAUUCGUAGAUAUCGGGAGGAACACCAGUGGCGAAGGCGGCGACCUGGACGGACAUUGACGCUGAGACGCGAAAGCGUGGGGAG